CAGUAGCCGCGGGAAUACAGAGGGUGCGAGCGUUAAUCGGAUUUACUGGGCGUAAAGCGUGCGUAGGCGGCUUUUUAAGUCGGAUGUGAAAUCCCUGAGCUUAACUUAGGAAUUGCAUUCGAUACUGGGAAGCUAGAGUAUGGGAGAGGAUGGUAGAAUUCCAGGUGUAGCGGUGAAAUGCGUAGAGAUCUGGAGGAAUACCGAUGGCGAAGGCAGCCAUCUGGCCUAAUACUGACGCUGAGGUACGAAAGCAUGGGGAGCAAACAGGAUUAGAUACCCGGGUAGUCCCUGUCUCUAUACA
This 301-nucleotide ribosomal RNA is filed under the name uncultured bacterium. RNAcentral's name for it is "partial 16S ribosomal RNA". It matches the Rfam family "Bacterial small subunit ribosomal RNA", at positions 509 to 808 of the family's 1533-position model. The record is from RNAcentral.